Salvelinus fontinalis (brook trout) is the source of this 570-nucleotide long non-coding RNA. RefSeq lists it as uncharacterized. The record is from RefSeq and is a predicted model, not a curated record. NCBI's taxonomy places the organism in Eukaryota, Metazoa, Chordata, Actinopteri, Salmoniformes, Salmonidae. The transcript has 3 exons.
UUUAAGUUCAUAGAGAAACUCGUUGUCCAAACCUACGAUGGCGCAGCUGUAAUGGAAUGUAUCUGCUAUUUGUAUUUACAGCCAAGUCCCCUCCUGUUCCCUGAUUAAGCAGUGAUGACCACUCCACUCCACUACCAUCAACAUUCUCCUGACAUGAACUGAAGCCACGACUUCUCAUGUGCCCACACAUCCACUGGCACAUUGAGUGUUUCCCUUCCAAGCACUUAAAAUCCUGUCCAGCACUGGUCAAGCCUCUGAACAUCUCAACUCAUGCCUCAUAACCUGCUGUGAUCACUGCUGUGAUCCCUUUCCAACACUGAUGUCUUUGGGCGGAGCCGGGAGGGUCGUCAGCGAAAUGGGACACACGUGGGCCCGGGUGUGUCCCGGGGAUAAAUACACCUCUUCCUCAUUCAUUGAGGAGACUCUCUCCAUGCAGACACACUGUUAGAUUUUGGUUGUGACCGGUUUGUUUGUUUGCUUUGGCACCCUUCAUUAUCACAUCUAUGCAUGCAGCCACUCACACCAUUGUUUAUUGUAUAUAGGUUAGGUUAGUUAUUAAAUAUAUUUUUA